RNAcentral lists this ribosomal RNA (572 nucleotides) under Diaporthe phaseolorum. RNAcentral describes it as "eukaryotic LSU rRNA". The stretch from base 204 to 357 matches the Rfam family "5.8S ribosomal RNA". Lineage: Eukaryota; Fungi; Ascomycota; Sordariomycetes; Diaporthales; Diaporthaceae. The record is from RNAcentral.
CCGUAGGUGAACCUGCGGAGGGAUCAUUGCUGGAACGCGCUUCGGCGCACCCAGAAACCCUUUGUGAACUUAUACCUAUUUGUUGCCUCGGCGUAGGCCGGCCUCUUCACUGAGGCCCCCUGGAAACAGGGAGCAGCCCGCCGGCGGCCAACUAAACUCUUGUUUCUAUAGUGAAUCUCUGAGUAAAAACAUAAAUGAAUCAAAACUUUCAACAACGGAUCUCUUGGUUCUGGCAUCGAUGAAGAACGCAGCGAAAUGCGAUAAGUAAUGUGAAUUGCAGAAUUCAGUGAAUCAUCGAAUCUUUGAACGCACAUUGCGCCCUCUGGUAUUCCGGAGGGCAUGCCUGUUCGAGCGUCAUUUCAACCCUCAAGCCUGGCUUGGUGAUGGGGCACUGCCUUCUAACGAGGGCAGGCCCUGAAAUCUAGUGGCGAGCUCGCUAGGACCCCGAGCGUAGUAGUUAUAUCUCGUUCUGGAAGGCCCUGGCGGUGCCCUGCCGUUAAACCCCCAACUUCUGAAAAUUUGACCUCGGAUCAGGUAGGAAUACCCGCUGAACUUAAGCAUAUCAAUAAGCG